GUAGGUGAACCUGCGGAAGGAUCAUUAUUGAAUUCCUUCUGAGAAGGGUUGUUGCUGGCCUUCACAGGCAUGUGCACGCCCCGAUCGAAACUUCAUACACCUGUGCACAUCUGUAGGGAGGGGGUCAAACCCUUCCCUAUGUUUUACAUACCCCUUUAAAGUCUUAGAAUGUCAAUAAUAGCUCGUCGUAAAAAAGCGAGUGAAAAUAAAAAAUACAACUUUCAACAACGGAUCUCUUGGCUCUC
This 245-nucleotide unclassified non-coding RNA is filed under the name rhizosphere metagenome. Its description in RNAcentral is "partial ribosomal RNA internal transcribed spacer region". The record is from RNAcentral.